GACGAACGCUGGCGGCGUGCCUAAUACAUGCGAGUUGAGCGCUGAAGGUUGGUACUUGUACCGACUGGAUGAGCAGCGAACGGGUGAGUAACGCGUGGGGAAUCUGCCUUUGAGCGGGGGACGACAUUUGGAAACGAAUGCUAAUACCGCAUAAAAACUUUAAACACAAGUUUUAAGUUUGAAAGAUGCAAUUGCAUCACUCAAAGAUGAUCCCGCGUUGUAUUAGCUAGUUGGUGAGGUAAAGGCUCACCAAGGCGAUGAUACAUAGCCGACCUGAGAGGGUGAUCGGCCACAUUGGGACUGAGACACGGCCCAAACUCCUACGGGAGGCAGCAGUAGGGAAUCUUCGGCAAUGGACGAAAGUCUGACCGAGCAACGCCGCGUGAGUGAAGAAGGUUUUCGGAUCGUAAAACUCUGUUGGUAGAGAAGAACGUUGGUGAGAGUGGAAAGCUCAUCAAGUGACGGUAACUACACAGAAAGGCACGGCUAACUACGUG
Molecule: ribosomal RNA, 497 nt
Filed under: uncultured bacterium
Lineage: Bacteria
Description: partial 16S ribosomal RNA
Rfam family: Bacterial small subunit ribosomal RNA
Source: RNAcentral